UACGUAGGGUGCAAGCGUUAAUCGGAAUUACUGGGCGUAAAGCGUGCGCAGGCGGUUAUGCAAGACAGAGGUGAAAUCCCCGGGCUCAACCUGGGAACUGCCUUUGUGACUGCAUAGCUAGAGUACGGCAGAGGGGGGUGGAAUUCCACGUGUAGCAGUGAAAUGCGUAGAUAUGUGGAGGAACACCAAUGGCGAAGGCAGCCCCCUGGGCCGAUACUGACGCUCAUGCACGAAAGCGUGGGGAGCAAACAGGAUUAGAAACCCGGGUAGU
RNAcentral lists this ribosomal RNA (271 nucleotides) under uncultured bacterium. Its description in RNAcentral is "partial 16S ribosomal RNA". It matches the Rfam family "Bacterial small subunit ribosomal RNA", at positions 524 to 794 of the family's 1533-position model. The record is from RNAcentral.